This 417-nucleotide ribosomal RNA is filed under the name uncultured bacterium. Its description in RNAcentral is "bacterial SSU rRNA". It matches the Rfam family "Bacterial small subunit ribosomal RNA", at positions 355 to 786 of the family's 1533-position model. The record is from RNAcentral.
UGGGGAAUAUUGCACAAUGGGCGCAAGCCUGAUGCAGCAACGCCGCGUGAAGGAAGACGGUUUUCGGAUUGUAAACUUCUGUUCUUAGUGAAGAAGAAUGACGGUAGCUAAGGAGCAAGCCACGGCUAACUACGUGCCAGCAGCCGCGGUAAUACGUAGGUGGCAAGCGUUGUCCGGAAUUACUGGGUGUGAAGGGAGCGCAGGCGGGGAAGCAAAGUCAGUUGUGAAAUCCCAUGGGCUUAACCCGUGAACUGCAGUUGAAACUGUUCUUCUUGAGUGAAGUAGAGGUUGGCGGAAUUCCGAGUGUAGCGGUGAAAUGCGUAGAUAUUCGGAGGAACACCGGUGGCGAAGGCGGCCAACUGGGCUUUUACUGACGCUGAGGCUCGAAAGUGUGGGGAGCAAACAGGAUUAGAUACC